CCUACGGGAGGCAGCAGUGAGGAAUAUUGGUCAAUGGCCGCGAGCCUGAACCAGCCAAGUCGCGUGAGGGAUGACUGCCCUACGGGUUGUAAACUUCUUUUAUAAGGGAGUAAAGUGAGUCACGUGUGGCUCUUUGUGUGUACCCUAUGAAUAAGCAUCGGCUAACUCCGUGCCAGCAGCCGCGGUAAUACGGAGGAUCCGAGCGUUAUCCGGAUUUAUUGGGUUUAAAGGGUGCGUAGAGGGGGUGUGAAGUCAGUUGUGAAAGUUUGCGGCUCAACCGUAAAAUUGCAGUUGAUACUGGCAGUCUUGAGUACAGGAGAGGUAGGCGGAAUGCGUGGUGUAGCGGUGAAAUGCUUAGAUAUCACGAAGAACUCCGAUUGCGAAGGCAGCUUACUGGACUGCAACUGACACUGAUGCACGAAAGUGUGGGUAUCAAACAGGAUUAGAUACCCGGGUAGUC
RNAcentral lists this ribosomal RNA (460 nucleotides) under uncultured bacterium. RNAcentral describes it as "partial 16S ribosomal RNA". It matches the Rfam family "Bacterial small subunit ribosomal RNA", at positions 338 to 795 of the family's 1533-position model. The record is from RNAcentral.